This 1303-nucleotide long non-coding RNA is filed under the name Mytilus galloprovincialis (Mediterranean mussel). Lineage: Eukaryota; Metazoa; Mollusca; Bivalvia; Mytilida; Mytilidae. The record is from RNAcentral.
CAUGGACAAUGAACAGCGACCCAUGAAGAAUACCGAAACGACAUGACAUUCCUCGACAACGACCAUGAACACUGACUUAAGAUUUGCCUCUUGUGAUUAUAUGCUAAAGUGGAUGUGACCACUUGUAUUCGCAGUAUGGUGGAUUUCUACCAUGGAUUUGAUGUUAUGUAUGCAGAGAAGACGGUUCGAAGCCAAUUGUGAAAUGAGAUACUAUUUGCAAUUACUAACUCUUGUAUUCAACUUAAGUUUGAAUUUAUGUAACAUUUGCUUUAUAAUUUUCAUGUUUCAAUAUUUACAUAUUUUUAUUGAUUUUGAUUGACCAAUUUCGUAUCUAGUUUAAGUCCAAUAGCCGGUCUAUUGUUUCUUUUUCUUGAUGUUUAUAGUGCUAAACGUAGUCUGGACAACUACAAGAAUUUUGAAAGCUCAGUCAAAAUCAACAGAAUUGUGAAAGCAACUUAUUUUUCUUUUAACUUUAAUUCAUGAAGACGAGCGAUUUAAAACCCAUGAUCACGCACCUUGUAAUUUACAAAAACAAAAAAACUGGAUAUCGUUGGUAUUUGUCACAAAGCUAAUUAAAGCACUUGACAGGUUAUCCAAAGCUAAGGAAGGCAUUCUGAUAACCUUGACCAAGAUAUUGUUCUAUUGAAAGUGCAACCGGUAUUCUGUCCGGGUUGAAAUUUUAAGGAGGUUAUAAGGGGCCUGCCUUAGAUGAAUUUCGAACCUCAACGGACCAGAAACUAGCAUUAAAUAGACGAUGUUUUAUUGUUGUAUAUUACUUGGUUUUUAUUUUCGUGUAAAUGGUUCUCACUUACGUUUACGAAGUAGAGGUUCGUCCGAAUGUACGUUUACGAAGUAGAGGUUCGUCCGAAUGAUAUAUAUAUUUUUUUCAAAAUUAAUACGCAAAAUUCUGAAAAUUUAGAGAGGUUCAUGUCAUAUAUAUGUAUAGAUAUUGAUGUUAAAAUUUAUACAGCUUCGGGGUCCGAAGCUAGAGGGAUGUUGGAAGAGUUGUCAUGUUGUAAAAAUGCAUGAAAUUGUGAAAUUUUGCACUUGAUUCUUUUUAAGUCAUGUUUGGUAUCAAAAGUCAAUAUUUCUUAUGAGUAAUUCAGUUUCAAUAUUUUUAUUAUGCUAGAAGUGUUUUUUUUCUUUCAGAAAACAAGAUUUUGAACUUUUUUUCAAUAAUUUUAUAAAAGACAUGUAUUAGUCGUUUUAGCGUUACUAUGAAAUAUUUAUGGAUUAAGAUUAAGAUUAUGUCGUGAGAAUACUUUUUGACAACAAUGGUCAUCAAUGUAAUUUAUUUGUCAAC